Molecule: long non-coding RNA, 905 nt
Filed under: Linum usitatissimum (flax)
Lineage: Eukaryota; Viridiplantae; Streptophyta; Magnoliopsida; Malpighiales; Linaceae
Description: long non-coding RNA (LUSI_LNC003765)
Source: RNAcentral
AGGGGUGUAAAUUUAACCCGUAAAUCCACAAACUCAACCCAACCCAGCCCAACUCAAGUAUGUUGAGUUGGGUUCAUAAUAGUAUAGGUUGAAAUGAGUUGGGUUUUGUUAUCAACCCAUAGGGUUGGGUUUUAUUUAAUUUUAACUCUAAACAACUCAACCCAACCCAAACUAACUCAUCCUUAUUACAACCUCCUACCUCCUUCCUUCUUUCAACCCUCCUUGCCUUUUCCUUCCUUUGCAAUUGUAUGAGAAUUGUACUUAUGUAAUAGUAGCAGUAUGUCGAACCUUUGAAAGAAAUUAUUUGAAAUAAAAUUGAUUUAUAUUUGAAUUGUACUUGAGUACUUAUGUAGUAGGCUAGUAGCAGUAUGUCGAAUAAUCCAUUUUGGAAUGAAAUUGAUUUGUAUUUGAAUUGUACUUAUGUAGUAAGCUAGUAGCAGUAUGUCAAACCUUCGACUUUGCAGUAGAAAUAUAUUGUAGGAUUGGGGACUUAAGUAUUGAAAAUUACCUACCUCAACUUAUAUAUGAUUCCAUAAAAUUGACAAUAGAAGUAUUUCGAUUCUGGAAAAAUUGCUUUUCGGGGUUUCGAUUUCCGAACAAAAACUCUCGUUCCGAAUUAAAUCAAUGUUUUUAACUCGAGAAUAGGAAUGAGAUUUCUUAGACGAGAAUCAAGAAUCAAAAUUUUAAAAAUAAAAAAACGGGAUCUCAUUCUCUUCCGAUUUCCACUCCUACUCAUUAUUAGAGUAAUUUCCUAAUUGGAAAAAUAUUUCAUCUUUUAAAAAAUGGUCUAACUCAUGUCCAAAACCACCUCAACCCGCCCCAACCCAUUAGGGUUGAGUUGGGUUAGAUUAAAGAAAAAAAUGGGUUGAGUUAAUAAAAAAUGCAACCUAUUUAUCCUUAACCCA